Molecule: ribosomal RNA, 179 nt
Filed under: Salmonella enterica subsp. enterica serovar Ohio
Lineage: Bacteria; Pseudomonadati; Pseudomonadota; Gammaproteobacteria; Enterobacterales; Enterobacteriaceae
Description: partial 23S ribosomal RNA
Rfam family: Bacterial large subunit ribosomal RNA
Source: RNAcentral
AUAAGUGCUGAAAGCAUCUAAGCACGAAACUUGCCCCGAGAUGAGUUCUCCCUGAGACUUUAGAUCUCCUGAAGGAACGUUGAAGACGACGACGUUGAUAGGCCGGGUGUGUAAGCGCAGCGAUGCGUUGAGCUAACCGGUACUAAUGAACCGUGAGGCUUAACCUUACAACGCCGAAG